UAGGGAAUCUUCCGCAAUGGACGCAAGUCUGACGGAGCAACGCCGCGUGAGUGAAGAAGGAUUUCGGUUCGUAAAACUCUGUUGUUAGAGAAGAACAGCGCAUAGAGUAACUGUUAUGCGUGUGACGGUAUCUAACCAGAAAGCCACGGCUAACUACGUGCCAGCAGCCGCGGUAAUAUGUAGGUGGCAAGCGUUGUCCGGAUUUAUUGGGCGUAAAGCGAGCGCAGGCGGUCAAUUAAGUCUGAUGUGAAAGCCCCCGGCUCAACCGGGGAGGGUCAUUGGAAACUGGUUGACUUGAGUGCAGAAGAGGAGAGUGGAAUUCCAUGUGUAGCGGUGAAAUGCGUAGAUAUAUGGAGGAACACCAGUGGCGAAGGCGACUCUCUGGUCUGUAACUGACGCUGAGGCUCGAAAGCGUGGGUAGCAAACAGG
RNAcentral lists this ribosomal RNA (429 nucleotides) under Bacteroidota bacterium. RNAcentral describes it as "Bacteroidetes bacterium partial 16S ribosomal RNA". It matches the Rfam family "Bacterial small subunit ribosomal RNA", at positions 355 to 776 of the family's 1533-position model. Lineage: Bacteria; Pseudomonadati; Bacteroidota. The record is from RNAcentral.